RNAcentral lists this ribosomal RNA (485 nucleotides) under uncultured bacterium. RNAcentral describes it as "partial 16S ribosomal RNA". It matches the Rfam family "Bacterial small subunit ribosomal RNA", at positions 28 to 507 of the family's 1533-position model. The record is from RNAcentral.
GAUGAACGCUGGCGGCGUGCUUAACACAUGCAAGUCGAACGGGAUCCAAGGGGUGCUUGCACUUUUUGGUGAGAGUGGCGAACGGGUGAGUAACACGUGAGUAACCUGUCCUUUUCUUUGGGAUAAGCAUUCGAAAGGGUGUUUAAUACCUUAUGUUCUUUCUGCCUCGCAUGGGGUGGGUGGGAAAGGCUUUGGCCGGAUUUGGGUGGGCUGGCGGGCUAUCAGCUUGUUGGUGGGGUGAUGGCUUACUAAGGCUUUGACGGGUAGCCGGCCUGAGAGGGUGGUAGGUCAGAUUCGGACUGAGAUACGGCCCAGACACCUGCGGGAGGCAGCGGUGGGCGAUAUUGCAGAAUGGGCGAAAGUCUGAUGAAGCGACGCCGCGUGACGGAUGAAGGCCGACGGGGUGUAUACUUCUUUUGCUCUGAACAAGGCAUGCCAGUGGGUGUGUUGAGUGUAGGGGUUGAUUAGCGCCGGCUAACUACGUG